GGAUGAUUCUGAGGCAGCUUGGAAACUGUCACCACUACCAACAAAGGAGCAUGACUGAAUGAGAAUCUCUAAAGGAGCAGGUUCAGCCUCUGCCAUGGACUGUUCUGGUGCUGCAGCAGAACAUUUGCAUCAUUUGCAGCCCACGGGAAUUUUCUGAAGAAAGGAAUAGAGAAUCAGAGUCUUCUACACGGCACCCCAACUAAUGAAAACUCCAUGCAAGAUGAAAACACUUUCUCAGAACUGGUGGUUUUCCUCGUGCUUGCUGAACUGAUCGAACUCACUAACCUGUCAGAAAAGCAACCCAGCAAAAAGUGGAGUUGGCUCAUGGAAGGGUCAGACUAGGAAACCAGGGCAGCUGCUGGAGUGAAGGGCAGUUCCUUCCAGAUCAAGGCAAACAAUGUGUUUAUGCAGCAUCCUCUCCAGACAUUAUGAAAUGCAGCUUUGUAGGCCUUUCCUGUCAGCUCACACAGAUAAUUCUAUUGAGAGAUCUGAGAUGCUUUUAAGAAUGUGCAUUUACCUUUAAUAAUAAC
Molecule: long non-coding RNA, 530 nt
Filed under: Numida meleagris (helmeted guineafowl)
Lineage: Eukaryota; Metazoa; Chordata; Aves; Galliformes; Numididae
Description: lncRNA (ENSNMEG00000016292.1)
Source: RNAcentral